CCUACGGGGGGCAGCAGUGGGGAAUAUUGGACAAUGGGGGGAACCCUGAUCCAGCCAUGCCACGUGUGUGAAGAAGGCCCUCGGGUUGUAAAGCACUUUCAGUGAGGAAGAACGCCUGGUGGUUAAUACCCAUCAGGAAAGACAUCACUCACAGAAGAAGCACCGGCUAACUCCGUGCCAGCAGCCGCGGUAAUACGGAGGGUGCGAGCGUUAAUCGGAAUUACUGGGCGUAAAGCGCGCGUAGGUGGCUUGAUAAGCCGGUUGUGAAAGCCCCGGGCUCAACCUGGGAACGGCAUCCGGAACUGUCAAGCUAGAGUGCAGGAGAGGAAGGUAGAAUUCCCGGUGUAGCGGUGAAAUGCGUAGAGAUCGGGAGGAAUACCAGUGGCGAAGGCGGCCUUCUGGACUGACACUGACACUGAGGUGCGAAAGCGUGGGUAGCAAACAGGAUUAGAUACCCUUGUAGUC
This 465-nucleotide ribosomal RNA is filed under the name Vreelandella stevensii. RNAcentral's name for it is "partial 16S ribosomal RNA". It matches the Rfam family "Bacterial small subunit ribosomal RNA", at positions 338 to 795 of the family's 1533-position model. Lineage: Bacteria; Pseudomonadati; Pseudomonadota; Gammaproteobacteria; Oceanospirillales; Halomonadaceae. The record is from RNAcentral.